UGGGGAAUAUUGCACAAUGGGGGAAACCCUGAUGCAGCGACGCCGCGUGAGCGAUGAAGGCUUUCGAGUCGUAAAGCUCUGUCCUAUGGGAAGAUAAUGACGGUACCAUAGAAGAAAGCCCCGGCUAAUUACGUGCCAGCAGCCGCGGUAAUACGUAAGGGGCGAGCGUUAUCCGGAUUUACUGGGCGUAAAGGGCGUGUAGGCGGCUAGAUAAGUGUGAUGUUUAAAUCCAAGGCUUAACCUUGGGGUUCAUUACAAACUGUUUAGGUUGAGUGCUGGAGAGGAUAGUGGAAUUCCUAGUGUAGCGGUAAAAUGCGUAGAUAUUAGGAGGAACACCGGUGGCGAAGGCGGCUAUCUGGACAGUAACUGACGCUGAGGCGCGAAAGCGUGGGGAGCAAACAGG
This 403-nucleotide ribosomal RNA is filed under the name Verrucomicrobiota bacterium. RNAcentral describes it as "Verrucomicrobia bacterium partial 16S ribosomal RNA". It matches the Rfam family "Bacterial small subunit ribosomal RNA", at positions 355 to 776 of the family's 1533-position model. The record is from RNAcentral. Lineage: Bacteria; Pseudomonadati; Verrucomicrobiota.